Felis catus (domestic cat) is the source of this 2580-nucleotide long non-coding RNA. RefSeq lists it as uncharacterized. Lineage: Eukaryota; Metazoa; Chordata; Mammalia; Carnivora; Felidae. The record is from RefSeq and is a predicted model, not a curated record. The transcript has 4 exons.
GAAGGGAAGGGGAAGUUACACACUUCUGUUCUGAAUGUUGCUUCUCCUUUGGAUACUUCGGUCAUGCAUCUUUAUUCAACUUUUUAAAAAAAUCAUAAAUAAGCAAACGUAAGUGGUUCUAAUUUUUUUUUUUUUUCAGAAAAAUUACCUACAGAGUCAGCUAUAUGUCUUACCUACCUAAGACUUUACUCUAUUUGGAAACUAAGAGACUAGGCAAUUUCACAAUGUGCCAGUUUGGGCCAAGAGCUUUGUAAUAUGCAGAUGCUCCCAGAAAUAGAAGAUGAAGUUUGCAAGACCAAAUACUAUUUUUGCCUCUUUAAAGAAAAAUCAGGAGAUUCUAAAAAGGAGAUAUUCUAAGACUUCAACAACUAAAGGAAAUAAUGGAUUAACAAGUAAAGGAAGAUUUUUGAAUCCUGAAGAUCCUUUCCACUUCUUCUGCAAGAUGCCCUUGAAUAUCUUUUAGAAAAUAAAUUGCCCUCCUUCCUGACUUCAGCUAACUGGCUUGCAUGAGACUGAUACCACACUCAGCUGCUGGAGAUGACCUCGAAUGGUUUAAGCCAAUCAGCAUUAAAUUACAUCUUUUAAGGGGGAAUGGGUUUGGACUGGGAGCUUGAAAACCUGUGAGUCUUGUUGGAGUCUCAAGACUUUUGCUUGGAAUUCUGGGGCUUGGAUGCCAUUUUCCCUUUUGGACUUGAAGGAAGAGGUCUAGAAACUUGAGAGUUGCCAGAGCCACCUUGGGAUUACCAGGAAAGAAGAUGCCCGAGGAAAGAAUUAACAGCGCAAAAGCAGGACAUAGAAAGGAAAAGGCGAGAAGAAUGCUGUGCUGUUGGAACAGAAUAAUUGAAAGCGAUACUAAAGCAACGUUGCCUAUUCUGAUGACCAUGUUGGCAAACCGAGAAGGUGGUUUGUGAUGCAGCGACGCAGGCUGUAGGGCAAGGAUGAUAACGGAAGACAAUGACAUGUCACGGGAGCUUUGUGACAGCCGUAGCCUACGCGGGCAGAAAUGGCGUGGCAAGCACCCUUCGCAGAUACAGCGUGUGGAUCGCCAUGAACUCAAACUCACUAGGCUUGGGAGUAAUUGCGAAUGGACUACCUCACUGCUUGUACUUCUCAAGUCAAUCUUGAAAAUCCCCACUCGUAUCUGAGUUUUUUAAAAGCAGCAUAGUUUGUGAUAACUGAUCAUUGGAAGAUGUACAGUGAGGCAGGCUCUUCCAUACUGUUCACGGCUGGGAUCUUAAAGAACCACUGCUUUGUUGUUAACGUUCCUGAGCUACUCGUGUUUUCAUGCAUGUCACGGAGCUGUGCUAUACAAACGGGCACUGAGCAGUGCUCAAGGCAUUUCCCACUUUUUUCUUGUUGUCUGCAGCCCUUCAUAUCUUUUUUCUUGCCCACAGUCCUUCAUAUCCCUCAUUUCUGGCCAUUGUUUCUGGAAAGUUCUCUGCUAAGUCAGUGAUGACCAUCAAGUGGAGACUGACUUUAACAGGUGUUAUUCAGCUAAAUGGUCAAUGACCUAGUGUUUUUAAAAAAUUUUAACUUACACUGGUGAUGGCAGAAAUAGUUUUGUUUUUACAAAUUUAUUUUUAAAAUUUCUGCCCAUCUCUGGAAGAGUGAGGAAGGUUCAGAUAUGUAGGAAAGGGAAACCAUGGUGAAAAGUUAAAAUCUUUUCAACAAAAAUGCUUGCUUGUUUUCACGCCAUACUCCUGGAACCCAGUGACAGUACCCGUAUUAAAACUAGGUUAAGAGUCAUCCAAGAUGUCUAUGCCUGUAUGAAAGGCAAUGGCUUGAUUUAAUCAGUGUUGUAAACUUGAAGAAACUCUUGGAGACAAUGCAAACAUUUCAGAUUUGUUUCUAUUUCUUUUUAAAUUCUUUGGCCUAUGUCUUUGAUUAAGAAACCCACAUGUGGUUUAAUUACUUCAUGUUUAUUUGAAUAUCAAAGUCAUGGCUUACGAUAUCUUACCAUACACCCCAGUUGUAUAUUCUCCUUUCAUCUGUCCAUCUGCUAAUGCAUUGAUUCACUUUUUGUAAGCACCUACUACGAGAGAAGUACUUAGGGUAUAAGAAAAAAUAAGACCCAGGCUCUGCCCUCAGGGACCUUCUUGCUAAGAUGUAUGCACCGCCCUGUCACUUGCACACACAUAUAUAUUACCAAAGUGUUUUAUCUGCCAAACUGUGGCCUUGUUUGCCUCCUUGUUAUCUGGUCGUGGUGGUCAGGUGAAGAGAAACUUAUUUUCAGCCUUAGGCCCAGAAAGUAACAGAUUUGUCUGACCAGAUAUAAAAUAGUCAUGAGGAUUCAAGAAAGAAUUCCCUUUUCCCUUUAGAACAGACAGUAUUGAACCGAUCGAGUGGGGGAAAAAAAAUCUUAGUUUUAUGUGUCUUCAAUUAUUCAGGUCUCAAAAUACACUUUUGUUGUAGGUGUUAAAUAGGUUAUAAUGUCUCACUUUGAAUACAGACAUAUCAGACAGAAUCCUUCCCAAUUCUACUUCUCUAAAACCUUAGAAAACUGAAGGAUCCAAGAUAUCUCAAAUCCCACAACUAUGUACAUUGGUAUUUGUGAUAUUCUCUCCCCCUCUCCCCCUCUCC